RNAcentral lists this ribosomal RNA (76 nucleotides) under Meyerozyma guilliermondii. RNAcentral describes it as "partial 28S ribosomal RNA". It matches the Rfam family "Eukaryotic large subunit ribosomal RNA", at positions 1 to 73 of the family's 3401-position model. Lineage: Eukaryota; Fungi; Ascomycota; Pichiomycetes; Serinales; Debaryomycetaceae. The record is from RNAcentral.
GUUUGACCUCAAAUCAGGUAGGAAUACCCGCUGAACUUAAGCAUAUCAAUAAGCGGAGGAAAAGAAACCAACAGGG